GGAGAUAUAGUUCAAUGGUAGAACAAUAGGCUUUUUAAGCUAUAGAAGUAGGUUCGAUUCCUACUAUCUUCU
RNAcentral lists this transfer RNA (72 nucleotides) under Clostridium tertium. RNAcentral describes it as "tRNA-Lys". It matches the Rfam family "tRNA". From Rfam's summary of the family: Transfer RNA (tRNA) molecules are approximately 80 nucleotides in length. Their secondary structure includes four short double-helical elements and three loops (D, anti-codon, and T loops). The record is from RNAcentral. Lineage: Bacteria; Bacillati; Bacillota; Clostridia; Eubacteriales; Clostridiaceae.